GAGAAAGAACUGAGUGAACCCAGAUGAAGAAGAAGGUUUAGCAACAGAGACUAUGAGCACAAGGUGAAGAGAGCAGCGGAGGGUAUCCCAGCAAACCAGUAGGGUUGAGAUUGUAGCUGAAGAUUUGGAAUUUAUCUUAAACGUCAGACUAAAUGGGAAGGGAGAUUUCAGAAGUCCCGAGAAGUAGAGGCGACCCAGAGAUGGAGGAAGCAGGAUGGGGAAGAACAAGGAUAUUCAAGAACGUGCCACCGCAACAAUAAACAGAGAUUGGAGAAGUGGCUAUCGGAAAAGUGGAAUGGCGUUGGUAUCUGCUGCAUGUCACGCGCUUAAAAGCAUGAAAAGAUUCUUCCAUACUUCUUCUUCUUCCUCCAAAUGCAUACUGUUUCUACUGUUAGUUAUCUAUUCCAAGAUUGCCACAAAACAUGGAAAGUACAGGCAUAGUUUAUAACGAAGGAAUCCUUGGUUUCAUUGUUAAAGAUUGUUCAUGAAGUGAUGAUGAAUUCGUGAAUUUUACUUCCAAAAGAAGUACAUUGAAGGAAGAUGCAAAAGGAUUCAGAUCUCCACAGUAUUCCCUUUAGAUUGCCGCAAAACGUGGAAAGUACGGGUAUAGUUGCACUUUUUAAGGAACGAAUCCUUGGUUUCAUUGUUAAAGAUUGUUCAUGAAGUAAGGUUGAAUUUGUUGUUUGUGGUAUCACUUGGAUUCUUUAAAUAUGGGUUUGUGCCAAAUUUAUUAACUUAUCUUUAUGUUUUCCCAAUUUGAAACAUUUUUCUAUAGAUAUGGUUGUUUGGAAUAUUGGGUAAUCACUAAAAGCUGUGCAGUAUCUAUGGAAAUACAUGGCUAAGGUAAUUAGCAACUAAAUUGUUUGAACAUUUACUUGCCUAACAUUAUGUAUUGUUACUUCUGAAAUGGAGCUUCAACUGAUAGUAAUCUAGAGGUCUUCAAAGUCUUUAUUCAAUGAAUUGAAGCACCCUAUAUUUUUUGAGUACAUCUAAUUUUUUUUCUGUAUAAUCAAAAUGGUUCACUUAACUGUGCAAAUAGAAUAGUUUACUAUUUCAGUACUACUUAACAAAAGCAUAAAACCUGAGCAAUUCAUACUACCUGUUCUCUUUUAACUAAUUGCGCAUAAAUUGCAUGCUCUAUAAAAUUAAUAAACAAUUUGAUUUAAGUUUUCAAAUGAUAUAAUUUUCAACUUUAUGGUAUCCUUUGGUGUUGCUUUUAAAUUAAAAGAUGGAAAUUGACUUGAAAUAACAUCCGUCUUUUGUAGCUGGAUAGGAAAGGUUUAGGACUAUGAUGAGUUCUUAUUACAGAGGAGUGCAAGGAAUCACUCUUGGUAAAUGGUAAAUUGAUUUAUACAUGACUUUAUAGAAAAUUUUCAAAAUAAUAAUUAGCAUUAAUAAACUCUGAGUAACUCCCUACUUGCAUGGAUUUUCUUUGCAUUUUUUAGUUUAGAAGGAUGCUAUAUAAGAAAUUUUAAAUUUAGAACUAACUAGUAAUUACAUGUUUAUUGUGAAGUUUGGUGAAAAGUAGUAUUAGCCCUUGGUUUUAGAAAAGAGUAAAGAAAUUGGACAUAUUCUUAAUCUUUGUUGUGAUUUGUUAUAUCUAUUGUACUGUUAGCAUCAUUGUAAAGACCAAUGUGAUCAUUAUUAUUUUAACUUUAUUGUAAUGAAAGCUAUUGCAAAACUAUAAAGCAGGAAAAUUAAAAAUUGAAUGUAAGCAACAUAACUUGAAAAUCAUUUACACCUCUCCUAUUAAAGCAAAGUUUGUAAUUACUAAGUUUCUUCUAGCAAUGUGAUUUCAUUUUAGAAACCUACAUUUAUGUCACUUUGAGUGGUAAAAUUAUUGAAAAGUUAGAAAAUUUUUUUAAAAAUAUUGUCUUAAAGUUUGCGUAAGUUUUAUUUUAUGAUAAACAUUUGAAAUUGGAUUCAUAGAGUUUGAUGAGGUUGACUUGAAUUUUAAAUUAUAAGGUUCGCAAGGCUGUACUAGGUAAGCAUUCUCUAAUACAUGAUUCACAAUAAUGUUUUCAUGUUCUUUUGAAUAUUUUUUUUCAAGCUUUUCAAUAUUAAUGUUCUGGAUGAAACUGUCAUUUUCCAUUCCUUCUUUGUGCUUAUGUUCAUUUGAAGCAUUAAAAGAUAGAGACUAAUAAGCCAAAAGAAGAUUGAGAAUGUAUAAAUUUGGAACUAACAUUUAAAUGAAGAUUUAUCAAUAUUUUUAUUUGAGGUAGAAAUAUUGGGUAUAAAAUGCUAUGCGUUUGUAUUAAGGACAAAAACAUUCAAUAGCAGUGUAGUGUGGCCAAUUGUAGAGCUAAGAUGUGAUUUUUUUUUUAUUAAUAUUCUUAAUUACGGCAGAUAUCGUAAGAAUAGUUAUUAUUGGAAGCUUUUAAGAUUUUUCAAAAAACAUGCACAUAAAAAGAAGUUUUUUAGAUCCUUUAUGCAUACAAUUUUAUUAAAAACAUGAUCGGGGUCAUGAACUAUUUGUUAAAGUAAUUGUAGAGAAUUUUUUUCAUUUUGCCUUAAAAUGCAAACUAUUUGUUAAAGUAAAAUAAAUUUAAGUAAUUACAAUAAAUUAUUAUAAGUUUAUAAUUAAAAAUAUAUACUUUAAAAUACAGAAUUUUACCUUCAGUUGGCCAAAUCUACAAAGUAGGAAUAGUUAGAAUUUUAUUUAUGAGUUCUAGCAUUAGUUUUCUAUUGUAGUUCAUUAGACAUAUUAGUAGGAUGAGUUUAGUUAGUUGCAAGUCAUACUAUCUUCACAUUAAUGGAUUUUUUUGUCAAUUUCAAACACUUUAGAAAAUGUUACAAUAGAUCAGAGUCAAACUUAAUAAGAGGGAUUAAUUCAAUAGUUGACCUUAAGUGAUGAUCACAAAUUCUUUUGUGAAUUAUGUACAUAAACCAAUUCUUUGAUAUACUCUAAUUGGUGGAAUCAUUAUUUUAUUGCUUUUUUUAAUCUUUGAAGUCUAUAUUACUAUUAUUUUAAUUGACAUCCAUCGUGAAAGGAUAUAUCACUAAACCCAGUUUAAUUCAAUCUAACCAUGGUUGAUUUUUCUAAUUUUGAUUAGUUUAUAUAAGAGAUGUUGCUGAAAAAUACUUUGCUUUCUAAAAUUGUCAGAGCUCAGCAAAGAUGUUUAUCAGGUACAAAUAUCAGUAUAUAAUUUUGUUUUUGAAUGAAUAAUUCUUAGUUCUUUGGCUUAUGUAAAUAGUGAUUUUAUUAAAGGAUUUAGGACAAAUAUCCAAUUCUAAUGAUCUCACUAAAUUCUUAACUUUUUAUUAUUUUUGUUUUAACAGUGUUUACUAUAGAUGUAUUCUUAUUAAACUGUGGAUUUUAAUUCUUAUUAAGUUUCAUGCUUGGCUGUUUAUGAGAACAAAUGAGGCAUGGAGUAUAGUUUCGAGAAAUUGUGUUCCUGAACUUCUAAAUUUGUCGAUAUUUUUGAGAAAGUUAAAGAGUUUUUUUGUUUCUAAUUAAUCACAUUGAAUGUAUGGGUUUUAUGUAUUGAUUUUAGAUUAUUAUCAACUCAUUUUUUUCUUUUUGACGUACUGUUGAAAAUUGUGUACAGUUUAGAAGGAAAAACUUUAGAAGUAUGAUCUAUGUUAAGCAUGGAAAAUAUCUGAGCGACUUAGCUGAAGAAAAUGUAACAUGUGAACAUAUUUUUUUUCCAAAGAAGAUGAAAACUGUCUACAUUUUUUCUUUAUUCUCAAGUUAAUAUCUGUUUAGUGCAAAGUUCAUUAACAAAUUUUUUUAUAUACUAUGAGCUAAAUUCUAAAUGCCAUUAUAUGAUUCAUGUAGUGAGUUUUACAUAUUAAAAAAAAAGGUUGUGCUCUCAUGAAUAAAAUUGUAUUUAAAUUGCCUACUUGCUUCCAUUUAAUAACUUAUUUUAAAAUAAUUUGUAGAUUUUUAGUUUCAAUAUUUGUAAUUUCCAUUUUUUCUAUUGAUUUGUUUGCUUAUUUCCAUUAUGGUUGGUUUUGUGUAGAUUGAGAAAUUGGUAGGAGUAAAAAGUUUGCGUGAAUUUUCAGUAUAAGUGAGUAGCUUUUGGGAUGAAGAAGCCAUCUUUUUGACAUAAACUCAAAAGCUUCAUCAAUUUUAUUCAAUUCGGCAAGAUAUUCAAUUUCAGCCCGACACAUUUCCAUUUGAGAGCAAACUUGACAAAGCUCCCAAAUUCUUUUCACUUCAUCUAUAUCACCCAAUUUCGCAUACCAUAGACAGAAGUAUCUACCAACUUGAGGAUUCUUUUUUAGGUCUUCUCCUUUCAUUUUUUUCAAUAAAUCUUUGACAUCUUUUUUCAACUCAACGGUUAUAAAGUGUAUAACUAAAACUGCCUUUUUUUCUGCCUGAGCACUACAAAUUGAUAAUAAAACUUCAGCAUUUAAAAGGUUCUGGUUCUGAAUAACCCUCAGUACAUUUCUAAUUCAUGUAGCUCAUGAUCAGACAAUUUAGCAAUAAAACAAUAUAGGUAGGAUGAUAUCUAUUGCUAAAUUGUCUGAUCAUGAGCUACAUGAAUUAGAAAUGUACUUUGAAGAGUUAUUUAGAACCAAAACCUUCUAAAUGUUGAUGUUUUAUUAUCAAUUUGUAGCGCUCAGACAGAAAGAAAUGUAGUCGUUGGGUUGAAAGAAGAUAUCAAAUAUUUAUUGAAGAAACUGGAAGGGGAAGACUUAAAGAAGAAUCCUCAAGUUGGUAGGUACUUCUAUCUAUGGUAUGCGAAAUUGGGUGAUAUAAAUGAAGUGAGAAAAAUUUAGAAACUUUGUCAAGUUUGCUCUCAAAAGGAAGUGUAUCGGAUUGAAAUUGAGUAUCUUACCGAAUUAAAUAAAAUUGAUGAAGUUGUUUAUGUUAAAAAGAUGGCUUUUUCAUCCCAAGAGCUACUCACUUAUGCUGAAAAUUUAUGCAAAUAAUAUGAUGGUAAAAAAGGGUAACGAUGUCGUUAUGCUAAUGGCAGACAGUGGAAUCCGAAUAGGCCCAUUGAUAUGGGACGACCUAGUUAAACUUCAUAUCAAAGCAGGGGAAGUUGAGAAGCAGUCUUGCUGAACCAAGAGAAACCUUUUAUCAAUUAUACUGUUAUUAUGGAGAAGUAUGCUAAUAGAGGUGAUAUCCAUAUUACAGAGAUGAUUUGGCACAAAACGAAAGAAGUGGGCUACAAGUUUAGUUGGAGGCAAUAUGAAGUUCUACUACAGGCUUAUUUAAUUGCCAAGCUUCGGCAUAUGGAAUGAGGGACACGAUGAAAGCUCGUAACAUAGUUCUCAACCCAGUUCUUCGGAGUUUGUUGAUUCAAGUUGAUCAUUUUCGUAAGAUUCAAGCUUUAGAUUUGGGUAUCUUUAUGUAGGAAAUUGAGGAAAUUAACAGAUUCAAGUUUUUUUAUUAUUAUUAUUAUUCAACUUGCUUGUUA
Arachis duranensis is the source of this 5369-nucleotide long non-coding RNA. RefSeq lists it as uncharacterized. The transcript is spliced from 5 exons. NCBI's taxonomy places the organism in Eukaryota, Viridiplantae, Streptophyta, Magnoliopsida, Fabales, Fabaceae. The record is from RefSeq and is a predicted model, not a curated record.